This 253-nucleotide ribosomal RNA is filed under the name uncultured bacterium. RNAcentral's name for it is "partial 16S ribosomal RNA". It matches the Rfam family "Bacterial small subunit ribosomal RNA", at positions 524 to 776 of the family's 1533-position model. The record is from RNAcentral.
UACGUAGGGGGCGAGCGUUGUCCGGAUUUAUUGGGCGUAAAGAGCUCGUAGGCGGCUUGUCGCGUCGACCGUGAAAACUUGGGGCUCAACCCCAAGCCUGCGGUCGAUACGGGCAGGCUAGAGUUCGGUAGGGGAGACUGGAAUUCCUGGUGUAGCGGUGAAAUGCGCAGAUAUCAGGAGGAACACCGGUGGCGAAGGCGGGUCUCUGGGCCGAUACUGACGCUGAGGAGCGAAAGCGUGGGGAGCGAACAGG